This 19-nucleotide unclassified non-coding RNA is filed under the name Mus musculus (house mouse). RNAcentral's name for it is "oocyte_clustered_small_RNA5039". The record is from RNAcentral. Lineage: Eukaryota; Metazoa; Chordata; Mammalia; Rodentia; Muridae.
UAGCAGCUCUGAGCAGGAA